GCAAGUCGAGGGGCAGCGAGGGACUUCGGUUCCGUCGGCGACCGGCGCACGGGUGAGUAACGCGUAUGUAACCUACCUAUAAUAGGGGAAUAACCCGGUGAAAACCGGACUAAUACCGCAUAGUCCUUUAGUUUCACAUGGAAUUAAAGGUAAAGAAUGAGUUAAAUCAAAUCGAUUAUAGAUGGACAUGCGUGGCAUUAGACAGUUGGUGAGGUAACGGCUCACCAAAUCAUCGAUGCCUAGGGGUUCUGAGAGGAUAGUC
This 262-nucleotide ribosomal RNA is filed under the name uncultured bacterium. RNAcentral describes it as "partial 16S ribosomal RNA". It matches the Rfam family "Bacterial small subunit ribosomal RNA", at positions 57 to 305 of the family's 1533-position model. The record is from RNAcentral.